GAUGAAGAACGUAGCGAAAUGCGAUAAGUAAUGUGAAUUGCAGAAUUCAGUGAAUCAUCGAAUCUUUGAACGCAUCUUGCGCUCCUUGGUAUUCCGAGGAGCAUGCCUGUUUGAGUGUCAUUUAACUUCUCAACCACAUUGGAUAUUUUUUUUCCGAUGCCGGCUUGGAUGUGGGGGUUGUUUGCAGGCUUUUUGUAACAAAAAAGGUCGGCUCCCCUGAAAUGUAUUAGUGGUAUCUGAGGCUAUUACUAUUAGGUGUGAUAAUUAUCUAUGCCUUUUGGGUAUGCCGCAUGAACAGAUUAUGCUGCUUCUAACGAAAACUAUUUUGAUGAAUUUGACCUCAAAUCAGGUAGGACUACUCGCUGAACUUAAGCAUAUCAAUAAGCGGAGGA
Molecule: unclassified non-coding RNA, 392 nt
Filed under: soil metagenome
Description: partial contains 5.8S ribosomal RNA, internal transcribed spacer 2, and large subunit ribosomal RNA
Rfam family: 5.8S ribosomal RNA (bases 1-120)
Source: RNAcentral